UAGGGAAUCUUCUGCAAUGGACGCAAGUCUGACGGAGCAACGCCGCGUGAGUGAAGAAGGAUUUCGGGUCGUAAAACUCUGUUGUUAGAGAAGAACAGCGCAUAGAGUAACUGUUAUGCGUGUGACGGUAUCUAACCAGAAAGCCACGGCUAACUACGUGCCAGCAGCCGCGGUAAUACGUAGGUGGCAAGCGUUAUCCGGAAUUAUUGGGCGUAAAGCGCGCGUAGGCGGUUUUUUAAGUCUGAUGUGAAAGCCCCCGGCUCAACCGGGGAGGGUCAUUGGAAACUGGUUGACUUGAGUGCAGAAGAGGGGAGUGGAAUUCCAUGUGUAGCGGUAAAAUGCGUAGAUGUGUGGGGGAACACCAGUGGCGAAGGCGACUCUCUGGUCUGUAACUGACGCUGGGACUCGAGAGCGUGGGUAGCAAACAAG
This 429-nucleotide ribosomal RNA is filed under the name Bacteroidota bacterium. RNAcentral describes it as "Bacteroidetes bacterium partial 16S ribosomal RNA". It matches the Rfam family "Bacterial small subunit ribosomal RNA", at positions 355 to 776 of the family's 1533-position model. Lineage: Bacteria; Pseudomonadati; Bacteroidota. The record is from RNAcentral.